UUUUUCCUACGGGGGGCAGCAGUGGGGAAUAUUGCACAAUGGGGGAAACCCUGAUGCAGCGACGCCGCGUGAAGGACGAAGUAUUUCGGUACGUAAACUUCUAUCAGCAGGGAAGAAAAUGACGGUACCUGACCAAGAAGCCCCGGCUAACUACGUGCCAGCAGCCGCGGUAAUACGUAGGGGGCAAGCGUUAUCCGGAUUUACUGGGUGUAAAGGGAGCGUAGACGGCCGUGCAAGUCUGAUGUGAAAACCCGGGGCUCAACCCCGGGACUGCAUUGGAAACUGCAUGGCUGGAGUGUCGGAGG
Molecule: ribosomal RNA, 305 nt
Filed under: uncultured bacterium
Lineage: Bacteria
Description: bacterial SSU rRNA
Rfam family: Bacterial small subunit ribosomal RNA
Source: RNAcentral